RNAcentral lists this ribosomal RNA (464 nucleotides) under uncultured bacterium. RNAcentral describes it as "partial 16S ribosomal RNA". It matches the Rfam family "Bacterial small subunit ribosomal RNA", at positions 28 to 507 of the family's 1533-position model. The record is from RNAcentral.
GACGAACGCUGGCGGCGUGCUUAACACAUGCCAGUCGAACGGAAAGGCCCAGCUUGCUGGGUGCUCGAGUGGCGAACGGGCGAGUAACACGUGGGUGAUCUGCCUCUAACUUCGGGAUAAGCUUGGGAAACUGGGUCUAAUACCGGAUAGGACAAUCGUUUAGUGUCGGUGGGGGAAAGUUUUUUCGGUUAGGGAUGAGCCCGCGGCCCAUCAGCUUGUUGGUGGGGUAAUGGCCUACCAAGGCGUCGACGGGUAGCCGGCCUGAGAGGGUGGACGGCCACAUUGGGCCUGAGAGACGGCCCAGACUCCUACGGGAGGCAGCAGUGGGGAGUAUUGCACAAUGGGCGCAAGCCUGAUGCAGCGACGCCGCGUGGGGGAUGACGGCCUUCGGGUUGUAAACCUCUUUCGACAGGGACGAAGCUUUGGUGACGGUACCUGUAGAAGAAGCACCGGCUAACUACGUG